Molecule: ribosomal RNA, 496 nt
Filed under: uncultured bacterium
Lineage: Bacteria
Description: partial 16S ribosomal RNA
Rfam family: Bacterial small subunit ribosomal RNA
Source: RNAcentral
AUGCACGCUGGCGGCGUGCCUCAUACCUGCAAGUCGCGCGAACGGACGAGAAGCUUGCUUCUCUGAUGUUAGCGGCGGACGGGUGAGUAACACGUGGAUAACCUACCUAUAAGACUGGGAUAACUUCGGGAAACCGGAGCUAAUACCGGAUAAUAUUUUGAACCGCAUGGUUCAAAAGUGAAAGACGGUCUUGCUGUCACUUAUAGAUGGAUCCGCGCUGCAUUAGCUAGUUGGUAAGGUAACGGCUUACCAAGGCAACGAUGCAUAGCCGACCUGAGAGGGUGAUCGGCCACACUGGAACUGAGACACGGUCCAGACUCCUACGGGAGGCAGCAGUAGGGAAUCUUCCGCAAUGGGCGAAAGCCUGACGGAGCAACGCCGCGUGAGUGAUGAAGGUCUUCGGAUCGUAAAACUCUGUUAUUAGGGAAGAACAUAUGUGUAAGUAACUGUGCACAUCUUGACGGUACCUAAUCAGAAAGCCACGGCUAACUACGUG